ACUUGGAUAUGGAUUCUUCACGGUAACGUAACUGAAUGUGGAGACGUCGGCGUGAGCCCUGGGAGGAGUUCUCUNUUCUUCUUAACAGCUUAUCACCCUGGAAUUGGUUUAUCCGGAGAUAGGGUCUUAUGGCUGGAAGAGUGCAAUACUUUUGUUGCAUCCGGUGCGCUUACGACGGUCCUUGAAAAUCCACAGGAAGGAAUAGUUUUCAUGCCAAGUCGUACU
This 225-nucleotide ribosomal RNA is filed under the name Debaryomyces hansenii var. hansenii. Its description in RNAcentral is "partial 26S rRNA". It matches the Rfam family "Eukaryotic large subunit ribosomal RNA", at positions 1623 to 1848 of the family's 3401-position model. Lineage: Eukaryota; Fungi; Ascomycota; Pichiomycetes; Serinales; Debaryomycetaceae. The record is from RNAcentral.